UACGUAGGGUGCGAGCGUUGUCCGGAUUUAUUGGGCGUAAAGGGCUCGUAGGCGGCCAGUCGCGUCGGAAGUGAAAUCCUGGGGCUUAACCCCGGGUCUGCUUUCGGUACGGGCUGGCUGGAGUGUGGCAGGGGAGACUGGAAUUCCUGGUGUAGCGGUGGAAUGCGCAGAUAUCAGGAGGAACACCGGUGGCGAAGGCGGGUCUCUGGGCCAUUACUGACGCUGAGGAGCGAAAGCGUGGGGAGCGAACAG
Molecule: ribosomal RNA, 252 nt
Filed under: uncultured bacterium
Lineage: Bacteria
Description: partial 16S ribosomal RNA
Rfam family: Bacterial small subunit ribosomal RNA
Source: RNAcentral